GGACGGGUGAGUAACGCGUGAGGAACCUGCCUUUCAGAGGGGGACAACAGUUGGAGACGACUGCUAAUACCGCAUGAUACGUUUUGGGGGCAUCCCUGAGACGUCAAAGAUUUAUCGCUGAAAGAUGGCCUCGCGUCUGAUUAGCUAGUUGGUGAGGUAACGGCCCACCAAGGCGACGAUCAGUAGCCGGACUGAGAGGUUGACCGGCCACAUUGGGACUGAGAUACGGCCCAGACUCC
This 239-nucleotide ribosomal RNA is filed under the name uncultured Oscillibacter sp. Its description in RNAcentral is "partial 16S ribosomal RNA". It matches the Rfam family "Bacterial small subunit ribosomal RNA", at positions 100 to 339 of the family's 1533-position model. The record is from RNAcentral. Lineage: Bacteria; Bacillati; Bacillota; Clostridia; Eubacteriales; Oscillospiraceae.